CAAAAACAUAGCCCUAGUAAUUAUCUAAGGUGUAACCUGCCCAGUGACCCUAAAAACAAGAUAAAAUCUUAAUAAUAGAGUUAAAAGGACGCGGUAACCUUGACCGUGAUAAUGUAGCAUAAUCACUCGCCAUUUAAUUGAUGGAUAGUAUGAAUGGUUGAACGAAUAUUCCUCUGUCUUAGAAAGAAUUAAUAUAAAUUGAAAUAAUAGUUAAGAUGCUAUUUUAGACUGUAAGACGAAAAGACCCUAUAGAGCUUAACUAUAAUCUCUUUUCACAAUAAAGAAAAGUAUUUCUUACUAAAAAGAGAUUGGUAGUUUAGUUGGGGCGACUGUCUUCUAAAACCAACGAAGACAAGCAAUGUUAAUAAAAAACUUAUUGUAUAAUUUAAAUAUUUAACAAUUACUAACGUAGGCUAUAAUGACCCGUUUUUACUUAAUAAAAAGAAAAACGAUCAAUUGAUAAAAGCUACCUUAGGGAUAACAGGAUAAUUUCAUUUUAGAGUUCCAAUCGAAAAUGAAGUUUGUCACCUC
Molecule: ribosomal RNA, 531 nt
Filed under: Eirene pyramidalis
Lineage: Eukaryota; Metazoa; Cnidaria; Hydrozoa; Leptothecata; Eirenidae
Description: partial 16S ribosomal RNA
Rfam family: Bacterial large subunit ribosomal RNA
Source: RNAcentral